GCCCUGCCCAGAGCACUCUAAAGGAAGGCAGCAGACUGUAUUUAUCAACCCAAGUUAUAUUUUAUUUUCAUACAUAAUGUACCCAACAGUAUCAAUAAAUAGAGGUAACAAACAAAAUAAAUUCAAAUCCUUAUAAAGGAAACUCAGCCGGACUGCCAAACAUUGUGUCCACAUUCCUGCCAAGCAAGGUCUUCAAAGCCACGUCUCCCAACAGAUGUUUGAUCUGCGCAUCCACAGCUCCACUGCUUCCCACAAGAGGAAAGGUGACGGCAUACAGUCACUUCAUCAAGCUACAAACAACUGCAGCACAAGAGGUAGUCACCAUUAAUAAGAGUUAAAAUA
Long non-coding RNA from Erpetoichthys calabaricus (reedfish), 342 nucleotides. RefSeq lists it as uncharacterized. The record is from RefSeq and is a predicted model, not a curated record. The transcript has 2 exons. Lineage: Eukaryota; Metazoa; Chordata; Cladistia; Polypteriformes; Polypteridae.